AGAGAGGUCGACCCAUUCUUGAGACCCGGCGACCCGAUCACGUGACCCGACCGGAGUGACGCCGUCCGGCCACCCCACGACGGCGUGCGGCCACCAGAAGCUUCAUCUCGGUUUCGCCUACCUCCCUACAUCCUCAGAUCGUCCAUGCACCGACGGUGAACGGAGCAACAACGACAGGAAGCCCCGAGCUUUCUCCGGCCACCUCUGCAACUUCCGGCGACCGAUUAAGCUUCAUUUGCCACGGCUUCACCGUGUUCUUCGAUACCAGUGACGUUUCGGGCACUUCUGGGCUUAGUUUCCAUCUCGAGUUCACCUGUAGACGAGGAAUUAAGAGGAUUGCUGGGUUGUUGGCAUCAAAAUCUUCAACUCACCAACGUUCCAGUUCCGGCAAGAGGUUCUGUAAACCCGAGCUUGAUCAACGUAGAGUUUCGAAGGACUCCAGUUACCCGAGGAACAGAAGGUUCGCAACUCUCGGAGUACGUGAGAGAACGCAUCGGAAUCCAGUGUGGAUGCAGGUACUGUGCACUGGUGACGGGACAAUAGCGAAAGGAGCUGGGUGUGUGGAAACAAGUUCGGUAAAUCGUCGUUUGAACCUUAUUCUAAAUUCUAUUUCUCGAACUUCGUAUUCCGAGACUUGUUAAUAGUUAGCCUUGUGUCAAUGUUGGUUGAGUUCUCAUUUCCUUGGAGUUCGUACCUCUUGUGUGAGAACUCAUUUCAAGUUCUAGACGAAUGAAAUAAAUUUUAGCAACUCAAUUAUUUUCACCUCAAAAAUAUUUGUAGCUUCCGCUGUGUUUCUACGAAAAGUUUUCAAACAAAAUGCCUAGCGGUUCUCUAGAAUGUAAAUCAAGUGUUCGGUUUAUGUUUUAGAGGCUCGCGGCACUGUGACGUGCUUAAGCUG
Rosa rugosa (rugosa rose) is the source of this 898-nucleotide long non-coding RNA. RefSeq lists it as uncharacterized. The transcript has 4 exons. The record is from RefSeq and is a predicted model, not a curated record. NCBI's taxonomy places the organism in Eukaryota, Viridiplantae, Streptophyta, Magnoliopsida, Rosales, Rosaceae.